GGGGCUAUCAACCACUCAGCCAUCUCUCC
This 29-nucleotide transfer RNA is filed under the name Androsace vitaliana. RNAcentral describes it as "partial tRNA-Ser". RNAcentral also lists the same sequence under 2 other names. Lineage: Eukaryota; Viridiplantae; Streptophyta; Magnoliopsida; Ericales; Primulaceae. The record is from RNAcentral.